GACAGAGGAGCCAAGCGUUGUCCGGAUUGACUGGGCGUAAAGCGCACGCAGGCGGCCGUGCACGUGGGGUGUGAAAGCGCUCGGCUUAACUGAGCGAUGCCACCUCAUACGGCAGGGAUCGAGCCCGUGAGAGGUCCACGGAAUUGCCGGUGUAGUGGUGAAAUGCGUAGAGAUCGGCAGGAACACCCAGGGGGAAACCAGUGGACUGGCACGGUGCUGACGCUCAGGUGCGAAAGCGUGGGGAGCGAACCGG
RNAcentral lists this ribosomal RNA (253 nucleotides) under uncultured bacterium. RNAcentral's name for it is "partial 16S ribosomal RNA". It matches the Rfam family "Bacterial small subunit ribosomal RNA", at positions 524 to 776 of the family's 1533-position model. The record is from RNAcentral.